AUUGAACGCUGGCGGCAUGCCUUACACAUGCAAGUCGAACGGUAACGCGGGGCAACCUGGCGACGAGUGGCGAACGGGUGAGUAAUGCAUCGGAACGUACCCAGUUGUGGGGGAUAGCUCGGCGAAAGCCGGAUUAAUACCGCAUACGACCUACGGGUGAAAGCGGGGGAUCGCAAGACCUCGCGCAGUUGGAGCGGCCGAUGUCAGAGUAGGUUGUUGGUGGGGUAAAGGCUCACCAAGCCGACGAUCUGUAGCUGGUCUGAGAGGACGACCAGCCACACUGGGACUUAGACACGGACCAGACGCCUACGAGGGACAGCAGUGGGGAAUUUUGGACAAUGGGGGCAACCCUGAGUCAGCCAGGCCGCGUGCGGGAAGAAGGCCUUCGGGUUGUAAACCGCUUUUGUCGGGUAAGAAAUCUUCCGGGCUAAUACCCCGGGAGGAUGACGGUACCCGAAGAAUAAGCACCGGCUAACUACGUGCCAGCCGCCGCCGUAA
This 498-nucleotide ribosomal RNA is filed under the name uncultured bacterium. RNAcentral's name for it is "partial 16S ribosomal RNA". It matches the Rfam family "Bacterial small subunit ribosomal RNA", at positions 29 to 523 of the family's 1533-position model. The record is from RNAcentral.